This 535-nucleotide ribosomal RNA is filed under the name Rickettsiaceae bacterium. Its description in RNAcentral is "bacterial SSU rRNA". It matches the Rfam family "Bacterial small subunit ribosomal RNA", at positions 996 to 1533 of the family's 1533-position model. The record is from RNAcentral. Lineage: Bacteria; Pseudomonadati; Pseudomonadota; Alphaproteobacteria; Rickettsiales; Rickettsiaceae.
GCUUCCAGAGAUGGAUUCCUUCCCUUACGGGACCUACACACAGGUGCUGCAUGGCUGUCGUCAGCUCGUGUCGUGAGAUGUUGGGUUAAGUCCCGCAACGAGCGAAACCCUCAUCCUUAUUUGCCAGCGGUUCGGCCGGGAACUAUAAGGAAACUGCCGGUGAUAAACCGGAGGAAGGUGGGGACGAUGUCAAGUCAUCAUGGCCCUUACGGGUUGGGCUACACGCGUGCUACAAUGGUACUUACAGAGGGAUGCAAUACGGCGACGUGGAGCAAAUCCUCAAAAGGUAUCUCAGUUCGGAUUGUUCUCUGCAACUCGAGAGCAUGAAGUCGGAAUCACUAGUAAUCGCGGAUCAGCAUGCCGCGGUGAAUACGUUCUCGGGCCUUGUACACACUGCCCGUCACGCCAUGGGAGUUGGUUUUACCUGAAGGUGGUGAGCUAACGUAAGAGGCAGCCAACCACGGUAGAAUUAGCGACUGGGGUGAAGUCGUAACAAGGUAGCCGUAGGGGAACCUGCGGCUGGAUUACCUCCUUA